UACGUAGGGGGCAAGCGUUGUCCGGAUUUAUUGGGCGUAAAGAGCGUGUAGGCGGCCAGAUAGGUCCGUUGUGAAAACUCGAGGCUCAACCUCGAGACGCCGAUGGAAACCAUCUGGCUAGAGUCCGGAAGAGGAGAGUGGAAUUCCUGGUCUAGCGGUGAAAUGCGCAGAUAUCAGGAAGAACACCCGUGGCUAAGGCGGCUCUCUAGUACGGUACUGACGCUGAGACGCGAAAGCGUGGGGAGCGAACAGG
RNAcentral lists this ribosomal RNA (253 nucleotides) under uncultured bacterium. Its description in RNAcentral is "partial 16S ribosomal RNA". It matches the Rfam family "Bacterial small subunit ribosomal RNA", at positions 524 to 776 of the family's 1533-position model. The record is from RNAcentral.